GCCAAAAAUAAGCAUUUUUGUAACUUCCAGACAUAACUUGUGUGUAAGUGUAUGGAUCUCUCUGACAUUGUACCACAAGGUUCCAUAUCACAAAGGGAAUGCUGGGAUUGAUUUUGGGGGUAAUUGCCUCCAAAUUUUAGGAAUUAGGGGCCAAAAAGGGGCAAAAAACAAGCAUUUUUCUAGUUUCAUGACAAUAACUUGUGUGUAAGUCUAUGGAUCUCUCUGACAUUGUAUCCCAAGGUUCCAUAUCACAAAGGGAAAGCUGGGAUUGAUUUUGGGGGUAAUUGCCUCCAAAUUUUAGGAAUUAGGGGCCAAAAAGGGGCAAAAAACAAUCAUUUUUCUAGUUUCAUGACAAUAACUUGUGUGUAAGUGUAUGGAUCUUUAUGAAAUUGUACUACAAGGUUCCAUAUCACAAAGGGAAUACUGGGAUUGAUUUUUGGGGUAAUUUCCUCCAAAUUUUAGGAAUUAGGGGCCAAAAAGGGGCAAAAAACAAGCAUUUUUCUAGUUUCAUGACAAUAACUUGUUUGUAAGUGUAUGGAUCUUUAUGAAAUUGUACUACAAGGUUCCAUAUCACAAAGGGAAGGCUGGGAUUGAUUUUGGGGGUUUUCCCUCAAAAUUUUAGUAAUUAGGGGCCAUAAAAGGGCAAAAAAAACAUGCAUUUUUCUAGUUUCAGGACAAUAACUUGUGUGUAAGUGUAUGGAUCUUUAUGAAAUUGUACUGCAAGGUUCCAUAUCACAAAGGGAAAGCUGGAAUUGAGUUUGGGGGUAAUUGCCCUAAACGUUUAGGAAUUUGGGGCCAAAAAGGGGCCAAAAAACAAGCAUUUUUCUAGUUUCCAGACAAUAACUUGUGUUCAAGUGUAUGAAUCUCUCUGAAAUUGUACUGCAAGGUACCAUACCACAAAGGGAAAGCUGGGAUUGAGUUUGGGGGUGAUGAAUCAUAAGGGGGUUCAAAAAAUUGGGGGGGGGGGAUUUUUUUUUCCUUUUUUUUCUUUAACAUUUUCCAUUUUAAAUUGGUUAUUUCUGAUUUAUAUAUAAAAGCAAAUAAUAAUGAUAUGGUUUGAAUAGGCAUACAUGUGAACCUCCCGACGGGAGUACAAUAAUCCCGUUUUCAGGGGUCUCCUCCCGACCUCCCGUUGAAGAGGAAAAAAUCCCGUGUAUGAAAUUUUUCAUGAAUGAAAAAUUUCUGCCCAACAUAUCAUCUCAGGCAUCUGAUGUAACUGACAUUACCUGAAGUUAUAUUUUACCUGUAAAUCAAUUAACAUGCAUAAUUAUAUGGCUUCACUUGUCAGCUUGGGUGUCAAACAUACAGGUAAUCAACGAUUUUUACCUCAGGCUAACUGCCGUUGUGUAACAAAAACUGUGUAUUUAUUGGGUUACUUCCCUUGAUUUAUCCUGUUUUAAGUUACUUUCCUUUUAAUAAUGAAAAUUUUUAAAAGAAUAUAAAUAAAAUAUAAAUUGAACAAAUAAUCAUAAAAGGAUGGUUAUUAAAUGAUUUUAAAUGUCUUAGGACAAAUAAAAAAAUAAUAAUUUGAAAAUUAUUUGAGGAUUCUAGACUUCCUUUCAAGGCUUAAAUUGAAAUUUAUAUAAUAACUAUGACCCUAAUUUUACAGAUAAAAUGAUUUUCUGAGUUUGCAAAGAAAAACUAUUUGCAAGAGAAAAAAAAAAAAUAAAAA
Molecule: long non-coding RNA, 1672 nt
Organism: Mytilus californianus (California mussel)
Lineage: Eukaryota; Metazoa; Mollusca; Bivalvia; Mytilida; Mytilidae
Exons: 2
Source: RefSeq, a predicted model, not a curated record